RNAcentral lists this unclassified non-coding RNA (336 nucleotides) under soil metagenome. Its description in RNAcentral is "partial contains 5.8S ribosomal RNA, internal transcribed spacer 2, and large subunit ribosomal RNA". The stretch from base 1 to 120 matches the Rfam family "5.8S ribosomal RNA", at positions 35 to 154 of the family's 154-position model. The record is from RNAcentral.
GAUGAAGAACGUAGCGAAAUGCGAUAAGUAGUGUGAAUUGCAGAAUUCAGUGAAUCAUCGAAUCUUUGAACGCACAUUGCGCCCCUUGGUAUUCCAUGGGGCAUGCCUGUUCGAGCGUCAUUUGUACCUUCAAGCUUUACUUGGUGUUGGGUGUUUGUCUCGCCUUUGCGUGUAGACUCGCCUUAAAAUAAUUGGCAGCCGGCGUAUUGAUUUCGGAGCGCAGUACAUCUCGCGCUUUGCACUCAUAACGACAGCGUCCAAAAGUACAUUUUACACUCUUGACCUCGGAUCAGGUAGGGAUACCCGCUGAACUUAAGCAUAUCAAUAAGCGGAGGA